This 98-nucleotide signal recognition particle RNA is filed under the name Candidatus Muproteobacteria bacterium RBG_16_62_13. RNAcentral's name for it is "signal recognition particle sRNA small type". It matches the Rfam family "Bacterial small signal recognition particle RNA". Rfam says of the family: The signal recognition particle (SRP) is a universally conserved ribonucleoprotein involved in the co-translational targeting of proteins to membranes. Archaeal SRP consists of a 7S RNA and homologues of the eukaryotic SRP19 and SRP54 proteins. In most bacteria, the SRP consists of a 4.5S RNA and the Ffh protein (a homologue of the eukaryotic SRP54 protein). Lineage: Bacteria; Pseudomonadati; Pseudomonadota; Candidatus Muproteobacteria. The record is from RNAcentral.
AGCCGGUCCCCUCGGCGACGAAACACUGUGAACCCGGUCAGGUCCGGAAGGAAGCAGCCGCAGCAGCGCGUUCGGGUGCCGGGGUGUGGCUGGUUUUC